RNAcentral lists this ribosomal RNA (520 nucleotides) under uncultured bacterium. RNAcentral describes it as "bacterial SSU rRNA". It matches the Rfam family "Bacterial small subunit ribosomal RNA", at positions 26 to 518 of the family's 1533-position model. The record is from RNAcentral.
AGGACGAACGCUGGCGGCGUGCCUAAUACAUGCAAGUCGAACGGUCUUUCUAUGGAAGCUUGCUUCCACUGAGAAGAUAGUGGCGAACGGGUGAGUAACACGUGGGUAACCUGCCCAUAAGAGGGGGGAUAACAUCCGGAAACGGGUGCUAAUACCGCAUAGUUUUCUUGAUCGCAUGAUUGAGAAAGGAAAGACGGCCUUUGUGCUGUCGCUUAUGGAUGGACCCGCGGCGUAUUAGUUAGUUGGUGAGGUAACGGCUCACCAAGGCGAUGAUACGUAGCCGACCUGAGAGGGUGAUCGGCCACAUUGGGACUGAGACGCGGCCCAAACUCCUACGGGAGGCAGCAGUAGGGAAUCUUCCGCAAUGGACGAAAGUCUGACGGAGCAACGCCGCGUGAGUGAAAGAAGGUUUUCGGAUCGUAAAACUCUGUUGUCAGAGAAGAACAAGUUGGAGAGUAACUGCUCCAGCCUUGACGGUAUCUGACCAGAAAGCCACGGCUAACUACGUGCCAGCCGCCGC